This 64-nucleotide transfer RNA is filed under the name Neoteredo reynei. Its description in RNAcentral is "tRNA-Leu". Lineage: Eukaryota; Metazoa; Mollusca; Bivalvia; Myida; Teredinidae. The record is from RNAcentral.
GCCGGUUUAGCAGAAGUUUAAUGUUUACGACUUAGGAUCGUAGGGUGUAGGGUCUACAGCUGGU